Molecule: long non-coding RNA, 279 nt
Filed under: Homo sapiens (human)
Lineage: Eukaryota; Metazoa; Chordata; Mammalia; Primates; Hominidae
Description: HSALNT0357666
Source: RNAcentral
GGGCAACAGAGCAAGAGCCUGUUGGGUGGCACUGGGGGCGCUGUGCCUCGCCCGGAGCCUCACCCAGAGCCUUCUGGGGUGGUGGAUAGCUGCUAAGAAGACCGCAGCAGCCUUCAUAAGUUGUAUCUUCCCCUUUACUGAAGAAUCACCAGUCACCUACAGUUGCACAGCAAGCAUGGGAAAAUAACUGAAAUUUUGAUGUGCCAUUUCUCACUUCUUUAAGAACCCUCCUUCAAAUUCCUGAAUAAAGCUGCUAACUAAGACAAAUGAAUUUUAAAA